UACAGAGGUCUCAAGCGUUGUUCGGAUUCAUUGGGCGUAAAGGGCGCGCAGGCGGUCCUUCAAGUCAGAUGUGAAAGCCCCGGGCUCAACCUGGGAACUGCAUUUGAGACUGGAGGACUUGAGGACGGGAGAGGAGAGUGGAAUUCCCAGUGUAGAGGUGAAAUUCGUAGAUAUUGGGAAGAACACCGAUGGCGAAGGCAGCUCUCUGGACCGUUACUGACGCUGAGGCGCGAAAGCGUGGGGAGCAAACAGG
RNAcentral lists this ribosomal RNA (253 nucleotides) under uncultured bacterium. RNAcentral's name for it is "partial 16S ribosomal RNA". It matches the Rfam family "Bacterial small subunit ribosomal RNA", at positions 524 to 776 of the family's 1533-position model. The record is from RNAcentral.